UGGGGAAUUUUGGACAAUGGGCGCACCCCUUUGAUCCAGCAAUGCCGCGUGCAGGAAGAAGGCCUUCGGGUUGUAAACUGCUUUUGUCAGGGAGGAAAUCUUCUGGGCUAAUACCCCGGGAGGAUGACGGUACCUGAAGAAUAAGCACCGGCUAACUACGUGCCAGCAGCCGCGGUAAUACGCAGGGUGCGAGCGUUAAUCGGAAUUACUGGGCGUAAAGCGUGCGCAGGCGGCUUUGCAAGACAGAUGNGAAAUCCCCGGGCUCAACCUGGGAACUGCAUUUGUGACUGCAAGGCUAGAGUACGGNAGAGGGGGAUGGAAUUCCGCGUGUANNAGUGAAAUGNGUANAUAUGCGGAGGAACACCAAUGGCGAAAGCAAUCCCCUGGGCCUGUACUGACGCUCAUGCAC
RNAcentral lists this ribosomal RNA (409 nucleotides) under uncultured bacterium. Its description in RNAcentral is "bacterial SSU rRNA". It matches the Rfam family "Bacterial small subunit ribosomal RNA", at positions 355 to 754 of the family's 1533-position model. The record is from RNAcentral.